AAUCAACGCUGGCGGCGUGCCUCAGACAUGCAAGUCGAACGAUUAAAGCUCUCUUCGGAGAGUGUAUAGAGUGGCGCACGGGUGAGUAACACGUAAGUAAUCUACCUUCGAGUGGGGAAUAACGUUCGGAAACGGACGCUAAUACCGCAUAAUGCAGCGGCAUCGCAAGAUGACAGUUGUUAAAGAUUUAUCGCUUGAAGAGGAGCUUGCGGCAGAUUAGCUAGUUGGUAAGGUAAUGGCUUACCAAGGCUACGAUCUGUAUCCGGUCUAAGAGGACGGUCGGACACACUGACACUGAAUAACGGGUCAGACUCCUACGGGAGGCAGCAGUCGGGAAUUUUGGGCAAUGGGCGAAAGCCUGACCCAGCAACGCCGCGUGAAGGAUGAAGUAUUUCGGUAUGUAAACUUCGAAAGAAUGGGAAGAAUCAAUGACGGUACCAUUUAUAAGCUCCGGCUAACUACGUGCCA
This 468-nucleotide ribosomal RNA is filed under the name uncultured bacterium. RNAcentral's name for it is "bacterial SSU rRNA". It matches the Rfam family "Bacterial small subunit ribosomal RNA", at positions 32 to 510 of the family's 1533-position model. The record is from RNAcentral.